This 610-nucleotide ribosomal RNA is filed under the name uncultured bacterium. RNAcentral describes it as "bacterial SSU rRNA". It matches the Rfam family "Bacterial small subunit ribosomal RNA", at positions 338 to 953 of the family's 1533-position model. The record is from RNAcentral.
CCUACGGGAGGCAGCAGUAGGGAAUAUUGGGCAAUGGAGGCAACUCUGACCCAGCCAUGCCGCGUGCAGGAUGAAGGCGUUAUGCGUUGUAAACUGCUUUUAUAUAGGAAGAAAGAGUUCUUGCGAGAACAGUUGACGGUACUAUAUGAAUAAGCACCGGCUAACUCCGUGCCAGCAGCCGCGGUAAUACGGAGGGUGCAAGCGUUGUCCGGAUUUAUUGGGUUUAAAGGGUGCGUAGGCGGUUUAUUAAGUCAGUGGUGAAAGACGGUCGCUCAACGAUUGCAGUGCCAUUGAUACUGGUAGACUUGAGUGAGAUUGAGGUAGCUGGAAUGGAUAGUGUAGCGGUGAAAUGCAUAGAUAUUAUCCAGAACACCAAUUGCGUAGGCAAGUUACUAAGUCUUAACUGACGCUGAGGCACGAAAGUGUGGGUAUCAAACAGGAUUAGAUACCCUGGUAGUCCACACUGUAAACGAUGAUAACUAACUGUUGGCUUUCGGGUCAGUGGUACAGAGAAAUCGUUAAGUUAUCCACCUGGGGAGUACGCCGGNAACGGUUGAAACUCAAANAGAGUAGAGGCGNGAGAGNGCGACGGACGACGACGAGGAGGAGG